Molecule: ribosomal RNA, 388 nt
Filed under: Zenopsis conchifer
Lineage: Eukaryota; Metazoa; Chordata; Actinopteri; Zeiformes; Zeidae
Description: partial 16S ribosomal RNA
Rfam family: Bacterial large subunit ribosomal RNA
Source: RNAcentral
CAAUCACUUGUCUUUUAAAUGAAGACCCGUAUGAAUGGCACCACGAGGGCUUAGCUGUCUCCUUUUUCAAGUCAAUGAAAUUGAUCUCCCCGUGCAGAAGCGGGGAUGAUAAUAUAAGACGAGAAGACCCUAUGGAGCUUUAGACNCUAGUGAAGACCACGAAAAAAGCUUUGAGUUAAAAAAGAAAACCCCAGUGAUUUCUCCACAACUGUCUUUGGUUGGGGCGACCGCGGGGAAAAACAAAACCCCCACGAGGAUUGAGAGUUCAACUCCUAAAACCAAGAGCUACAGCUCUAAGAAACAGAAAUUCUGACCUAUGUGAUCCGGGAAACCGAUCAACGAACCGAGUUACCCUAGGGAUAACAGCGCAAUCCCCUUCCAGAGCCCA